UUAGUGGCGGACGGGUGGGUAACGCGUGGAAAACCUGCCGUAUACUGGGGGAUAACACUUAGAAAUAGGUGCUAAUACCGCAUAAGCGCACAGCUUCGCAUGAAGCGGUGUGAAAAACUCUGGUGGUAUACGAUGGUUCCGCGUCUGAUUAGCUAGUUGGUGGGGUAAUGGCCUACCAAGGCAACGAUCAGUAGCCGGCCUGAGAGGGUGAACGGCCACAUUGGGACUGAGACACGGCCCAAACUCCUACGGGAGGCAGCAG
This 262-nucleotide ribosomal RNA is filed under the name uncultured bacterium. Its description in RNAcentral is "partial 16S ribosomal RNA". It matches the Rfam family "Bacterial small subunit ribosomal RNA", at positions 92 to 354 of the family's 1533-position model. The record is from RNAcentral.